AAACGCCUGUGGGUUGUGAGGUUAAGCGACUAAGCGUACACGGUGGAUGCCCUGGCAGUCAGAGGCGAUGAAGGGCGUGCUAAUCUGCGAUAAGCGCCGGUAAGGUGAUAUGAACCGCUACAACCGGCGAUACCCGAAUGGGGAAACCCAGUGUGACUCGUCACACUAUCAUGCAGUGAAUACAUAGCUGUAUGAGGCGAACCGGGGGAACUGAAACAUCUAAGUACCCCGAGGAAAAGAAAUCAACCGAGAUUCCCCCAGUAGCGGCGAGCGAACGGGGAGGAGCCCAGAACCAUCAUCAGCUUGUGCAUCAGUGGAAGCGUCUGGAAAGUCGCAGGGUACAGGGUGAUACUCCCGUACACAAAGGUGCACAGGCUGUGAGUUCGAUGAGUAAGGCGGGACACGUGGUAUCCUGUCUGAAUAUGGGGGGACCAUCCUCCAAGGCUAAAUACUCCUGACUGACCGAUAGUGAACCAGUACCGUGAGGGAAAGGCGAAAAGAACCCCGGCGAGGGGAGUGAAACAGAACCUGAAACCGUGUACGUACAAGCAGUGGGAGCCUCUUUAUGGGGUGACUGCGUACCUUUUGUAUAAUGGGUCAGCGACUUAUAUUCUGUAGCAAGGUUAACCGCAUAGGGGAGCCGCAGGGAAACCGAGUCUUAACUGGGCGUUAAGUUGCAGGGUAUAGACCCGAAACCCGGUGAUCUAGCCAUGGGCAGGUUGAAGGUUGGGUAACACUAACUGGAGGACCGAACCGACUAAUGUUGAAAAAUUAGCGGAUGACCUGUGGCUGGGGGUGAAAGGCCAAUCAAACCGGGAGAUAGCUGGUUCUCCCCGAAAGCUAUUUAGGUAGCGCCUCGUGAACUCAUCUCCGGGGGUAGAGCACUGUUUCGGCUAGGGGGCCAUCCCGGCUUACCAACCCGAUGCAAACUGCGAAUACCGGAGAAUGUUAUCACGGGAGACACACGGCGGGUGCUAACGUCCGUCGUGAAGAGGGAAACAACCCAGACCGCCAGCUAAGGUCCCAAAGUCAUGGUUAAGUGGGAAACGAUGUGGGAAGGCCCAGACAGCCAGGAUGUUGGCUUAGAAGCAGCCAUCAUUUAAAGAAAGCGUAAUAGCUCACUGGUCGAGUCGGCCUGCGCGGAAGAUGUAACGGGGCUAAACCAUGCACCGAAGCUGCGGCAGCGACGCUUAUGCGUUGUUGGGUAGGGGAGCGUUCUGUAAGCCGUCGAAGGUGUGCUGUGAGGCAUGCUGGAGGUAUCAGAAGUGCGAAUGCUGACAUAAGUAACGAUAAACAAGGUGAAAAACCUUGUCGCCGGAAGACCAAGGGUUCCUGUUCAACGUUAAUCGGAGCAGGGUGAGUCGACCCCUAAGGCGAGGCCGAAAGGCGUAGUCGAUGGGAAACAGGUUAAUAUUCCUGUACUUGGUGUUACUGCGAAGGGGGGACGGAGAAGGCUAUAUCAGCCGGGCGACGGUUGUCCCGGUUUAAGCGUGUAGGUGUGUGUUCCAGGCAAAUCCGGUUCACUUUACACUGAGGCGUGACGACGAGGCACUACGGUGCUGAAGUGAUAAAUGCCCUGCUUCCAGGAAAAGCCUCUAAGCAUCAGGUAACACAAAAUCGUACCCCAAACCGACACAGGUGGUCAGGUAGAGAAUACCAAGGCGCUUGAGAGAACUCGGGUGAAGGAACUAGGCAAAAUGGUGCCGUAACUUCGGGAGAAGGCACGCUGGCGCGUAGGUGAAGGGACUUGCUCCCGGAGCUGAAGCCAGUCGAAGAUACCAGCUGGCUGCAACUGUUUAUUAAAAACACAGCACUGUGCAAACACGAAAGUGGACGUAUACGGUGUGACGCCUGCCCGGUGCCGGAAGGUUAAUUGAUGGGGUUAUCCGCAAGGAGAAGCUCUUGAUCGAAGCCCCGGUAAACGGCGGCCGUAACUAUAACGGUCCUAAGGUAGCGAAAUUCCUUGUCGGGUAAGUUCCGACCUGCACGAAUGGCGUAAUGAUGGCCAGGCUGUCUCCACCCGAGACUCAGUGAAAUUGAAAUCGCUGUGAAGAUGCAGUGUACCCGCGGCAAGACGGAAAGACCCCGUGAACCUUUACUACAGCUUGACACUGAACACUGAGCCUUGAUGUGUAGGAUAGGUGGGAGGCUUUGAAGCGUGGACGCCAGUCUGCGUGGAGCCG
Molecule: ribosomal RNA, 2183 nt
Filed under: Pantoea sp. AG702
Lineage: Bacteria; Pseudomonadati; Pseudomonadota; Gammaproteobacteria; Enterobacterales; Erwiniaceae
Description: bacterial LSU rRNA
Rfam family: Bacterial large subunit ribosomal RNA
Source: RNAcentral